CGCUCCGGCCCGCCGGGACCCCGCGCUGCAAGGGACGGGGCAACAUCCCCGGGAGCAGGCUGCAGCUGGGAAUCCCGGACGGGGUGGUGGUUCGGGAGGGCUGCAGCUGAAAAGCGUUUGGCACGCUUCCGGAGUGUGUCAGGACAAGGCUGGCACCAUGGUGCUCCAGGAACCGCGAGGAAAACCUUAGGAUUACAGCUCUCGAAUCACAGCUUCACCUGCUCAUGUGGCACCCACAUGUGCUGUCCUGAACAUCAGAGUGUGAGCGGCUUGGGAUCACUGCCACUCUGGUAUCUUCUUCUUCUUCUGCCCUUGUUAAAGCUCCUCAUUCCCCUAGUUCCACUUUCAUAA
RNAcentral lists this long non-coding RNA (351 nucleotides) under Cyanistes caeruleus (blue tit). RNAcentral describes it as "lncRNA (ENSCCEG00000019343.1)". Lineage: Eukaryota; Metazoa; Chordata; Aves; Passeriformes; Paridae. The record is from RNAcentral.